GAAGUGUUCGGAUUGCGGCGACGUGGGCGGUCCGCUGCCCGCGACGUUGUGAGAAGUCCUCUGAACCUUAUCAUUUAGAGGAAGGAGAAGUCGUAACAAGGUUUCCGCUAGGAUGAACCUGCGGAAGGAUCAUUG
This 135-nucleotide ribosomal RNA is filed under the name Astragalus solandri. RNAcentral's name for it is "partial 18S ribosomal RNA". It matches the Rfam family "Eukaryotic small subunit ribosomal RNA", at positions 1703 to 1831 of the family's 1831-position model. Lineage: Eukaryota; Viridiplantae; Streptophyta; Magnoliopsida; Fabales; Fabaceae. The record is from RNAcentral.